CUCCUGAAGUGUCUUCUGCUCAGUAAUAGGGGGUUCAUUCUAACAUCAUGCAGAAAUUACUGUUUUUACUGGUUCCCUGUGUACUAGCAGUAGUACUCGUCAAUGGUUAUACAGGAUUCGGUGGUGCAGCUGGAGUCGGUGGUGGUGCAGCUGGGGUCGGUGGCGGUGCAGCUGGAUUCGGUGGCGGUCACGCUGGAGGCUAUUACGGCGGUGGAGGACAAACUGUUAGUCAAGGUUACCCAUUGAAGACAUAUCAGAACGUCGUUCAUACUUUAAAUGAAAGAAAUCGUUUAGCCUACGACCAAUAUCUUAUUGGAAGUUACAGAAACCCUAACAAAUGGUCAUUCAUUGCUCCUCUUCUCCUGCUGGGACUUCUUCUUGCAAACAGAACUUCUAUCGCAACAACUGGUUAAAGAGUUGAAUAGACUUUGUAUAUAUACUGCUUAUUGGGGAUUGACGGCCAGACCACACAGCACUGACAUGCAAAAAAAGUGUUACAAAUAAAAUAAAAAUACUUAUUUAUCUUA
Mytilus californianus (California mussel) is the source of this 527-nucleotide long non-coding RNA. RefSeq lists it as uncharacterized. NCBI's taxonomy places the organism in Eukaryota, Metazoa, Mollusca, Bivalvia, Mytilida, Mytilidae. The record is from RefSeq and is a predicted model, not a curated record. The transcript has 3 exons.